CGCGGCCUAUCAGCUUGUUGGAGAGGUAACGGCUCACCAAGGCUUCGACGGGUAGCUGGUCUGAGAGGAUGAUCAGCCACACUGGAACUGAGACACGGUCCAGACUCCUACGGGAGGCAGCAGUGGGGAAUCUUGCACAAUGGGCGCAAGCCUGAUGCAGCGAUGCCGCGUGCGGGAAGAAGGCCUUAGGGUUGUAAACCGCUUUCAGGAGGGAAGAAAAUGACGGUACCUCCAGAAGAAGGUGCGGCCAACUACGUGCCAGCAGCCGCGGUGACACGUAGGCACCAAGCGUUGUCCGGAUUUAUUGGGCGUAAAGAGCUCGUAGGCGGUUCAGUUAGUCGGGUGUGAAAACUCUGGGCUCAACCCAGAGACGCCACCCGAUACUGCUGUGACUAGAGUACGGUAGGGGAGUGGGGAAUUCCUGGUGUAGCGGUGAAAUGCGCAGAUAUCAGGAGGAACACCAGUGGCGAAGGCCCCACUCUGGGCCGUAACUGACGCUGAGGAGCGAAAGCAUGGGUAGCAAACAGGAUUAGAUACCCUGGUAGUCCAUGCCGUAAACGUUGGGCACUAGGUGUGGGUCUCAACCAACGAGAUCCGCGCCGUCGCUAACGCAUUAAGUGCCCCGCCUGGGGAGUACGG
This 639-nucleotide ribosomal RNA is filed under the name uncultured Actinomycetes bacterium. Its description in RNAcentral is "bacterial SSU rRNA". It matches the Rfam family "Bacterial small subunit ribosomal RNA", at positions 232 to 885 of the family's 1533-position model. The record is from RNAcentral. Lineage: Bacteria; Bacillati; Actinomycetota; Actinomycetes.